RNAcentral lists this ribosomal RNA (253 nucleotides) under uncultured bacterium. RNAcentral's name for it is "partial 16S ribosomal RNA". It matches the Rfam family "Bacterial small subunit ribosomal RNA", at positions 524 to 776 of the family's 1533-position model. The record is from RNAcentral.
UACGAGGGGGGCAAAUGUUGUUCGGAAUCACUGGGCGUAAAGGGAGCGUAGGCGGGUGUUUAAGUUAGGUGUUUAAUCCUGGGGCCCAACCCCAGUCGUGCACCUAAAACUGGACAUCUUGAAUAGUGGAGAGGUCAGUGGAAUUGGGGGUGUAGCGGUGGAAUGCGUAGAGAUCCCCAAGAACACCAGUUGCGAAGGCGGCUGACUGGACACAUAUUGACGCUGAGGCUCGAAAGCGUGGGGAGCAAACAGG